CUGCGCGAGGACCAGUUCCACAUCAGUGUCAUCAGGGGCGGCCUCAGUAACAUGCUGUUCGAGUGCUCCCUGCCGGAGACCACGGCCACGGUCGGCGACGAGCCCCGGAAGGUGCUUCUGAGGCUGUACGGGGCGAUCCUGCAGAUGUUAUAGGAUCUCCCAAAUGUCUACUUUUUGUAUUUGUGUCAUGAAUUGCCACUUCACUGACCAUACAGAAAUGUG
This 222-nucleotide long non-coding RNA is filed under the name Oryctolagus cuniculus (rabbit). RNAcentral describes it as "lncRNA (ENSOCUG00000037945.1)". The record is from RNAcentral. Lineage: Eukaryota; Metazoa; Chordata; Mammalia; Lagomorpha; Leporidae.